UACGUAGGGGGCGAGCGUUGUCCGAAUUCACUGGGCGUAAAGCGCGCGUAGGCGGGUUACUAAGUUGGGGGUGAAAUUCCGAGGCUCAACCUCGGAACUGCCUCCAAAACUGGUAGCCUAGAGGUAUGGAGAGGGAAGUGGAAUUCCUGGUGUAGCGGUGAAAUGCGUAGAUAUCAGGAGGAACACCCGUGGCGAAGGCGGCUUCCUGGCCAUAUCCUGACGCUGAGGUGCGAAAGCCAGGGGAGCGAACGGG
This 253-nucleotide ribosomal RNA is filed under the name uncultured bacterium. Its description in RNAcentral is "partial 16S ribosomal RNA". It matches the Rfam family "Bacterial small subunit ribosomal RNA", at positions 524 to 776 of the family's 1533-position model. The record is from RNAcentral.